Molecule: ribosomal RNA, 534 nt
Filed under: uncultured bacterium
Lineage: Bacteria
Description: bacterial SSU rRNA
Rfam family: Bacterial small subunit ribosomal RNA
Source: RNAcentral
AGAGUUUGAUCCUGGCUCAGAUUGAACGCUGGCGGCAGGCCUAACACAUGCAAGUCGAGCGGUAACAGGGAGAAGCUUGCUUCUCUGCUGACGAGCGGCGGACGGGUGAGUAAUGUAUGGGGAUCUGCCUGAUGGAGGGGGAUAACUACUGGAAACGGUAGCUAAUACCGCAUGAUGUCUUCGGACCAAAGCGGGGGACCUUCGGGCCUCGCGCCAUCAGAUGAACCCAUAUGGGAUUAGCUAGUAGGUGAGGUAAUGGCUCACCUAGGCGACGAUCUCUAGCUGGUCUGAGAGGAUGAUCAGCCACACUGGGACUGAGACACGGCCCAGACUCCUACGGGAGGCAGCAGUGGGGAAUAUUGCACAAUGGGCGCAAGCCUGAUGCAGCCAUGCCGCGUGUAUGAAGAAGGCCUUAGGGUUGUAAAGUACUUUCAGUCGGGAGGAAGGUGUUGAGUUUAAUAUGCUCAGCAAUUGACGUUACCGACAGAAGAAGCACCGGCUAACUCCGUGCCAGCAGCCGCGGUAAUACGGAGG